GUUUUUUUUUUCUUGUUCCCUUUGCUGGUCGAUGGGUUGGUUAGCUUCUGUGACCCAUCCGAACUCUAACGAGAUCAUUGACGAUAGUUGGGGUGACAUUAGUUCCUUUCUCGUUCUCUCUGAAGU
RNAcentral lists this non-coding RNA (126 nucleotides) under Pteridomonas danica. The record is from RNAcentral. Lineage: Eukaryota; Dictyochophyceae; Pedinellales.